GUUUGGCAUCUCUCUUGCUGUAGUUCUCUGUGCUCUUGGUUUCCUUGUUCCUAAUCUCCUCUCUACCAGUGAUGUGCCGGACUCAGCUGCUGACCAGUGAAGCGUGGUGAGGUACAUGGAAGAAACACCAUGGACCAGGGCUUCACUUUCUGGAGCCAAAGGAACUCCCUUCGGCCUGCGGGUGUAAACUUGGAGGACUUCUUUUUCAAUUCCGGCAAAGAUCCUAAAGACAAGAUCAAAGAACCAUUUUUAUAAAUGAGAUUAUCCUGUUAAGUUCCGACAGCAGCUGUCAUGAUGAUGGAGGCUGAUGACCAGCAUCUCUCCCAAUAAAGAAAUUAUGGCAUGGAUUGCAAAUCGGCACAAAAUCUGAGAUGAAUAAUCCCUCUGGUGGAAAGCUGCAGGUUGGAGUCAUGUUCAGAAAUAAACUGCCUUAGAGAGA
This is a long non-coding RNA of Pygocentrus nattereri (red-bellied piranha), 439 nucleotides long. RefSeq lists it as uncharacterized. The record is from RefSeq and is a predicted model, not a curated record. The transcript has 4 exons. NCBI's taxonomy places the organism in Eukaryota, Metazoa, Chordata, Actinopteri, Characiformes, Serrasalmidae.